AGAUGUUCCCCGUCUCUUUAUUUGCAACUUGCCUAUUUAUCUAGGUCUCCAAUACAGGUAUUGUGUGCAAAACUGAUUGUGCUCUCACCUCACGCAUUGAAAACUAUAUGAACCUAAGGCAGCUAAAAAAAACUUAUCUGAAUCUCUAAAUUUUAUUGCCUUUGUUUUAAUCGACCUCUUUUAAUCAGCUUACACCCGCUUUAAUCAUCUUUCGGCCACUUAGAUUAACAUUGUUUAGCAUGUAUGCUGAACUUUAUUUUCAAGCAUGUUGCACUGUUUUUUUUUCCCUCUUUCAGAACUUUCUUUACAGUCUUGCUUGGUUAAAAAAAUUUGUAC
RNAcentral lists this long non-coding RNA (336 nucleotides) under Ananas comosus (pineapple). RNAcentral's name for it is "long non-coding RNA (ACOM_LNC032806)". The record is from RNAcentral. Lineage: Eukaryota; Viridiplantae; Streptophyta; Magnoliopsida; Poales; Bromeliaceae.